UACUUUUCAUCAUUUAUUUUGAAGUAAAUAACUACAAUUUUUGUAUACAGGCACAUCAACCUCUGAAUGUUCUGCAUGAUUUGGCUGGGAGAAAUAUGCCAGAUAGAGUAAUUGGACUGGUCACUCUGUUCACCAACAAGUUGUCUCAACGUCAGAUCGGAAUCAGUGCUGGACUUAUGACCAUCACGAAGGACACUAUCCUAACGAUCAUCGGUACCCUCCUCACCUACGUUUUCAUUGUGAUCCAGUUUAAACCGGAAUCAAGUGAUGGAUGUCGACUGGGUGGAAACGCCACGGCAAUAUAGUUGGACCGACUAAUACUUGACUUUGAACCUUUCGUUAUUCAGUGAGAUAGUUAUUUCGUGUCACAUUGGCUGUUUUUAAGCUAAUUGUGAAUAAAGCAAGUUAUACAUUGAUAAUACAUGUGUAGACCAUACAACCCGUCCAGCGGGAAAAUUAACAGUUAAAAAUAAAAGGAGUGCUACGAUUAUAACCACUUGGAAUUAUAAAUACUUUGAAUGUAACGGGACUUACGUACCUUCUUUUGUUAUAGCCACUAAGAAUCUUAAUUAUGUAUUCAGUCAUCUAAAUUAAUACAUUUUACUUACUUUUUACAAUAUAUAUACUUAGCAAAAUUUAUCAAUUGA
This 647-nucleotide unclassified non-coding RNA is filed under the name Haliotis rubra (blacklip abalone). RNAcentral describes it as "uncharacterized LOC124273255, transcript variant X3". Lineage: Eukaryota; Metazoa; Mollusca; Gastropoda; Lepetellida; Haliotidae. The record is from RNAcentral.